This is an RNA transcript of Otolemur garnettii (small-eared galago), 2168 nucleotides long. It is a transcript of the gene named isocitrate dehydrogenase [NADP] cytoplasmic pseudogene, with no coding region annotated. The transcript has a single exon. Lineage: Eukaryota; Metazoa; Chordata; Mammalia; Primates; Galagidae. The record is from RefSeq and is a predicted model, not a curated record.
UUGCCAGCGUUCCUUCUCCAGCAGAAAAUAAACUGCAUUCAAUUGAGACUGCAAGACUGAGAGGACUUGGAGGGAUUAGAAAUGGAUUCACUUGCAAAGGUUUAUUGAAGUCAAAAUGUCCAAAAAAAUCAGUGGUGGUUCUGUGGUAGAGAUGCAAGGAGAUGAAAUGACACGGAUCAUCUGGGAAUUGAUAAAAGAAAAACUCAUUUUUCCCUAUGUGGAACUGGAUCUACAUAGCUAUGAUUUAGGCAUAGAGAAUUGUGAUGCCACCAGCAACCAAGUCACCAAGGAUGCUGCAGAGGCCAUAAAAAAAUACAACGUAGGGGUCAAGUGUGCUACUAUCACCCCGAUGAGAAGAGGGUUGAGUAGUUCAAGUUGAAACAAAUGUGGAAAUCACCGAACGGCACCAUCCAAAAUAUUCUAUGUGGCACUGUCUUCAGGGAAGCUAUUAUCUGCAAAAAUAUCCCCCGGCUUGAGAGUGGAUGGGUGAAACCCAUCAUCAUAGGUCAUCACGCUUAUGGGGACCAAUACAGAGCAACUGAUUUUGUUGUUCCUGGGCCUGGAAAAGUAGAGAUAACCUACACACCAAAUGAUGGAACCCAAAAGGUGACAUACUUGGUACAUAACUUUGAAGAUGGUGGUGGUGUUGCCAUGGGUAUGUACAUUUAAGAUAAGUCAAUCCAAGAUUUUGCACACAGUUCUUUCCAAAUGGCUCUGUCUAAGGGUUGACCUUUGUAUCUGAGCACCAAAAGCACUAUUCUGAAGAAAUAUGAUGGACGUUUUAAAGACAUCUUUCAGGAGAUAUAUGACAAGCAGUACAAAUCCCAAUUUGAAGCCCAGAAGAUCUGGUAUGAACAUAGGCUCAUCGAUGACACGGUGGCCCAAGCCACCAGAAAUCAGAAGGAAGCUUCAUUUGGGCCUGCAAAAACUAUGAUGGUGACGUGCAGUCGGACUCUGUGGCCCAAGGUUAUGGUUCUCUUGGCAUGAUGACCAGUGUGCUGGUUUGUCCAGAUGGCAAAACAGUAGAAGCAGAGGCAGCCCAUGGGACCGUAACCCAUCACAACCGCAUGUACCAGAAAGGACAGGAGACAUCCACUCAUCCCAUUGCUUCCAUUUCUGCCUGGACCAGAGGAUUAGCCCACAGAGCAAAGCUUGAUAACAAUAAAGAACUUGACCUCUUUGCAAAGGCUUUGGAAGAAGUCUGUAUUGAGACCAUUGAGGCUGGCUUCAUGACCAAGGACUUGGCUAUUUGCAUUAAAGGUUUACCUAACGUGCAACGUUCUGACUACUUGAAUACAUUUGAAUUCAUGGACAAACUUGGAGAAAACUUGAAGAUAAAGCUGGCCCAGGCCAAACUUUAAGGCCAUACUUGGCUUAGGAGGAUAAAUGUUUUCUGGUAACUAGGUCCACAGGUUUACAUUUUUCUGUAUGACACUCAAGGAUAAAGACAAAAUGAAUUUUAUAAUUUGUUUAGAAGCCAGAGUUUAUCUUUUCUGUAAGUUUACAGCCUUACACAUACAGUUAUUGCCACCUUCAUGAAUGUGGCAAGGGACUUGUUUUUAAAUUUUAUUUUAUUUUCUAGUAGCAGCCUAGGAAUUAGGUUAGUACUCAUUUGUACUGAUUAUCACUUCUUUUCAAAUUCUGAUAUAAAUGACCAAAAUUAAGAGUGCUCAAAAGGAUAAAUGGUAGUAGCUAUAGUACUAUUCCCUAAAAUAUGUAAAGUGGAAAUUCACUCCCUUGCCCUCUUGUCCAUGACCUUGGGCACUGGGAUAUCUCAGUAUUACAGAUGUCCCAUUAUGUAAGAUGGAACUGUACAUUGAACUUGCACAUGACUGGAACAAAGUAUGAGUGUAACCGAAAUGUGAAAAUAGUACAGUUAUUUGUGAAGAGUAUAUUGAAGGUUCCUAAUAUACUAAAUACUUUCAAAGCCAUUGGAGAGUUUGGAAUCCAGAAUAAAUGUUACCUGGAGGUUUGUACUCUUCUUCUGUCUCUUCCUCCUCCUGGCCUAGCCUGGCCUGAAAAUUAUGCUACCAUACGCAGCAUAUUUCAUCCAAGUGCAAUAAUGUAAGCUGCAUCCUUUUUUGUACUUCUGCUGACCUGUUUCAUUUCUUUUAUAUAAAUGUGAUUUCUCAGAAGCUUAAUAAACACUACUCUAGUCCUUUUCUUCA